CAAAGAGAUCGGAUGUUGCUCAGCUGUAAUAUAAUAUUUAAUUGACCUUGUCGAAACGGAGAUUCUCAAGCUAUUCUAGCUUUCCCAAGCUUCCGCACAUUCACCGCGUCGCCGACGAGGGGCAUUAUUUAUAUUCAAUAUUUUACGCAAAAAAGUAUACCAAACAAGAAACGAGGCAUGGCAAAUAUAUCAUCUUGAAGAGACAAUUGAAAACUUCGGCAUGCUCUUGUCGAAAAAAAUAUACCAAAAUGAUGAGGACAGUGAUCCACAAAGUUGAGUUACCCUCUGCAUGCGGUAGUGGUGAUGAUCUAGGCGCAGAAAUAUUUAUUGCAACACUUUUGGGAUACUUGAAAGAUUUAUAACCGCCUCGAUAAAUUGUCUUAAAAUAGCCCACAAAUGCUAAUGUUUAGUCUCGUUUCCGCCUCUGCAUUUGACUGAAAUAAAUGUUUUUAGCAAUUAUA
Molecule: long non-coding RNA, 461 nt
Organism: Drosophila subpulchrella
Lineage: Eukaryota; Metazoa; Arthropoda; Insecta; Diptera; Drosophilidae
Exons: 2
Source: RefSeq, a predicted model, not a curated record